AUUGAACGCUGGCGGAAUGCUUUACACAUGCAAGUCGAACGGCAGCACGGACUUCGGUCUGGUGGCGAGUGGCGAACGGGUGAGUAAUGUAUCGGAACGUGCCCAGUCGAGGGGGAUAACGUCGUGAAAAUUACGCUAAUACCGCAUACGAUCUAUGGAUGAAAGCGGGGGAUCGCACGACCUCGCGCGAUUGGAGCGGCCGAUAGCAGAGUAGGGGCGUGGCGGGGUAAAGGACCACCAAGCCAACGAUCUGCAGCUGGUCUGAGAGGACGGCCAGGCACACUGGAGCUGAGGCACGGUCCAGACUCCGACGCGGAGCAGCAGUGGGGAAUUUUGGACAAUGGGCGAAAGCCUGAUCCAGCCAUUCCGCGGGCAGGAUGAAGGCCCUCGGGUUGUAAACUGCUGAUGGACAGAACGAAAGGGUUUCUACUAAUACUAGGAGCUCAUGACGGUACUGUAAGAAUAAGCACCGGCUAACUACGUGCCAGCAGCCGCAGUAA
RNAcentral lists this ribosomal RNA (500 nucleotides) under uncultured bacterium. Its description in RNAcentral is "partial 16S ribosomal RNA". It matches the Rfam family "Bacterial small subunit ribosomal RNA", at positions 29 to 523 of the family's 1533-position model. The record is from RNAcentral.